UACGUAGGGACCAAGCGUUGUUCGGAUUCACUGGGCUUAAAGGGCGCGUAGGCGGAUGGCCAAGUCAAGGGUGAAAGCCCCCGGCCCAACCGGGGAAGUGCCUCUGAUACCGGUCAUCUCGAGCGGGAUAGGGGCAGCUGGAACUUCCGGUGGAGCGGUGAAAUGCGUAGAUAUCGGAAGGAACGCCGGUGGCGAAAGCGAGCUGCUGGAUCCCUCCUGACGCUGAGGCGCGAAAGCCAGGGGAGCGAACGGG
RNAcentral lists this ribosomal RNA (253 nucleotides) under uncultured bacterium. RNAcentral describes it as "partial 16S ribosomal RNA". It matches the Rfam family "Bacterial small subunit ribosomal RNA", at positions 524 to 776 of the family's 1533-position model. The record is from RNAcentral.